RNAcentral lists this ribosomal RNA (200 nucleotides) under uncultured bacterium. RNAcentral describes it as "partial 16S ribosomal RNA". It matches the Rfam family "Bacterial small subunit ribosomal RNA", at positions 29 to 254 of the family's 1533-position model. The record is from RNAcentral.
AACGAACGCUGGCGGCAGGCUUAACACAUGCAAGUCGAACGAACGUAGCAAUACGUUAGUGGCGCACGGGUGAGUAACACGUGGAUAUCUGCCUUUUGGUUCGGGAUAACCCUGGGAAACUAGGGCUAAUACCGAAUGGUUCCUACGGGAUAAAGAUUUAUCGCCAAAAGAUGAGUCCGCGUCCGAUUAGCUAGUUGGUG